AGGGGAAUAUUGGACAAUGGGCGAAAGCCUGAUCCAGCCAUGCCGCGUGUGUGAAGAAGGUCUUCGGAUUGUAAAGCACUUUAAGUUGGGAGGAAGGGCAUUAACCUAAUACGUUAGUGUUUUGACGUUACCGACAGAAUAAGCACCGGCUAACUCUGUGCCAGCAGCCGCGGUAAUACAGAGGGUGCAAGCGUUAAUCGGAAUUACUGGGCGUAAAGCGCGCGUAGGUGGUUUGUUAAGUUGGAUGUGAAAUCCCCGGGCUCAACCUGGGAACUGCAUUCAAAACUGACUGACUAGAGUAUGGUAGAGGGUGGUGGAAUUUCCUGUGUAGCGGUGAAAUGCGUAGAUAUAGGAAGGAACACCAGUGGCGAAGGCGACCACCUGGACUAAUACUGACACUGAGGUGCGAAAGCGUGGGGAGCAAACA
This 427-nucleotide ribosomal RNA is filed under the name uncultured bacterium. RNAcentral's name for it is "partial 16S ribosomal RNA". It matches the Rfam family "Bacterial small subunit ribosomal RNA", at positions 355 to 774 of the family's 1533-position model. The record is from RNAcentral.